GGCGCGCCUUUAAUAACUAUGAUCUAUACUUAGAAUGAUUAUGCACUGUUCUGUGUUUUUUUAUCUCUUUGGCUGCAGAGCCUCUCUAUGAUAUCUGAUGUGAUAUUUUUCUAGUUCACUUUCAAGGGAAAAGACUUGAAAAUGAACUAAACUUUUCUAAAUUUCUGCCUCCAUGGCUACAUCUGCAAUAUACAGAUCUAAUUAUUGAAAUCCUUUGGAAAAAACUCAACUCAACUCAACU
Molecule: unclassified non-coding RNA, 241 nt
Filed under: Hevea brasiliensis (rubber tree)
Lineage: Eukaryota; Viridiplantae; Streptophyta; Magnoliopsida; Malpighiales; Euphorbiaceae
Source: RNAcentral